RNAcentral lists this ribosomal RNA (423 nucleotides) under uncultured bacterium. RNAcentral's name for it is "bacterial SSU rRNA". It matches the Rfam family "Bacterial small subunit ribosomal RNA", at positions 355 to 774 of the family's 1533-position model. The record is from RNAcentral.
UGAGGAAUAUUGGUCAAUGGGCGCGAGCCUGAACCAGCCAAGUAGCGUGAGGGAUGAAGGUCCUAUGGAUUGUAAACUUCUUUUAUAGCAGAAUAAAGUGACCCACGUGUGGGGUGGUGUAUGUAUGCGAUGAAUAAGGAGCGGCUAACGCCGUGCCAGCAGCCGCGGUAAUACGGAGGAUCCGAGCGUUAUCCGGAUUUAUUGGGUUGAAAGGGUGCGUAGGCGGAAAGAUAAGUCAGCCUGUGAAAGUUUGCGGCUCAACCGUAAAAUUGCCUUCGAUACUUGCCUCCUUGAGUGUAGAUGAAGUAGGCGCAAUUUGUGGUGUAGCGGUGAAAUGCUUAGAUAUCACGAGGAACUCCGAUUGCGCAGGCAGCUUACUACACUACAACUGCCGCUCAUGCACGAAGGCGUGGGGAUCAAACA